CCGACCUUAGCUCAGUUGGUAGAGCGGAGGACUGUAGUCGGUAAACAGACAAUCCUUAGGUCGCUGGUUCGAAUCCGGCAGGUCGGA
Molecule: non-coding RNA, 87 nt
Organism: Beta vulgaris subsp. vulgaris (sugar beet)
Lineage: Eukaryota; Viridiplantae; Streptophyta; Magnoliopsida; Caryophyllales; Amaranthaceae
Source: Rfam